UAUGUCGUGUACCUUGCUUCGAUUCCUUUGGAUGCACGGCGGGGCAUUGUUUACGAUAGGGGUGUAUGUAGGGAGGACGAGGCCAGGUCGAUGAUCGAGGUGGAUGAUGCUACGAGGGAACAGCUUUUGGCGGAAGCUGCUUUGAUUUCUUAUGCGAUUGAGACGUGCGAUUUCGACCUGUAG
This 183-nucleotide non-coding RNA is filed under the name Thalassiosira rotula. Lineage: Eukaryota; Bacillariophyta; Thalassiosirophyceae; Thalassiosirales; Thalassiosiraceae. The record is from RNAcentral.